CAGCCGCCGCGGUAAUACGGAGGGUGCAAGCGUUAUCCGGAUUCACUGGGUUUAAAGGGUGCGUAGGCGGGCAGGUAAGUCAGUGGUGAAAUCCUGGAGCUCAACUCCAGAACUGCCAUUGAUACUAUCUGUCUUGAAUAUUGUGGAGGUAAGCGGAAUAUGUCAUGUAGCGGUGAAAUGCUUAGAUAUGACAUAGAACACCCAUUGCGAAGGCAGCUUACUACGCAUAUAUUGACGCUGAGGCACGAAAGCGUGGGGAUCAAACAGGAUUAGAUACCCUGGUAGUCCACGCCCUAAACUAUGGAUACUCGACAUACGCGAUACACUGUGUGUGUCUGAGCGAAAGCAUUAAGUAUCCCACCUGGGAAGUACGUUCGCAAGAAUGAAACUCAAAGGAAUUGGCGGGGGAGCACAG
RNAcentral lists this ribosomal RNA (415 nucleotides) under uncultured archaeon. Its description in RNAcentral is "bacterial SSU rRNA". It matches the Rfam family "Bacterial small subunit ribosomal RNA", at positions 509 to 926 of the family's 1533-position model. The record is from RNAcentral.